GUGAGGAAUAUUGGUCAAUGGGCGAGAGCCUGAACCAGCCAAGUCGCGUGAAGGAAGAAGGAUCUAUGGUUCGUAAACUUCUUUUGCAGGGGAAUAAAGCGCAGGACGUGUCCUGUUUUGUAUGUACCCUGAGAAUAAGGAUCGGCUAACUCCGUGCCAGCAGCCGCGGUAAUACGGAGGAUCCGAGCGUUAUCCGGAUUUAUUGGGUUUAAAGGGUGCGUAGGUGGUUUGAUAAGUCAGCGGUGAAAGUUUGCAGCUUAACUGUAAAAAUGCCGUUGAAACUGUCGGACUUGAGUGUAAAUGAGGUAGGCGGAAUGCGUGGUGUAGCGGUGAAAUGCAUAGAUAUCACGCAGAACUCCGAUUGCGAAGGCAGCUUACUAAGCUACAACUGACACUGAAGCACGAAAGCGUGGGGAUCAAACAGGAUUAGAAACCCCUGUAGUCC
RNAcentral lists this ribosomal RNA (445 nucleotides) under uncultured bacterium. Its description in RNAcentral is "partial 16S ribosomal RNA". It matches the Rfam family "Bacterial small subunit ribosomal RNA", at positions 354 to 796 of the family's 1533-position model. The record is from RNAcentral.